Molecule: ribosomal RNA, 490 nt
Filed under: uncultured bacterium
Lineage: Bacteria
Description: partial 16S ribosomal RNA
Rfam family: Bacterial small subunit ribosomal RNA
Source: RNAcentral
AUUGAACGCUGGCGGCAGGCCUAACACAUGCAAGUCGAACGGUAACAGGAAGCAGCUUGCUGCUUUGCUGACGAGUGGCGGACGGGUGAGUAAUGUCUGGGAAACUGCCUGAUGGAGGGGGAUAACUACUGGAAACGGUAGCUAAUACCGCAUAACGUCGCAAGACCAAAGAGGGGGACCUUCGGGCCUCUUGCCAUCGGAUGUGCCCAGAUGGGAUUAGCUAGUAGGUGGGGUAACGGCUCACCUAGGCGACGAUCCCUAGCUGGUCUGAGAGGAUGACCAGCCACACUGGAACUGAGACACGGUCCAGACUCCUACGGGAGGCAGCAGUGGGGAAUAUUGCACAAUGGGCGCAAGCCUGAUGCAGCCAUGCCGCGUGUAUGAAGAAGGCCUUCGGGUUGUAAAGUACUUUCAGCGGGGAGGAAGGGAGUAAAGUUAAUACCUUGGCUCAUUGACGUUACCCGCAGAAGAAGCACCGGCUAACUCCGCG